UAAAGUACUUAAUUAUUGAUUUCUAUAUUUGUACUGUGCUUUAUUGAUGGUUAAAGGCCUACAGGUCAUUUCUAGGUUCGAAAUGACUCGUUAUAAUUUCCGAUAACUAUAACAGUGCUGCCAAAGUACGAAAGUACAGUCGGUAUCUUGAAGUUCUUUCGGGUUAUUUACAGGUGUCUUUUUAGUGAUAGACACAUGGAUGGAUACAAACGAUUAGACGUUUAGUUUCAAUAAUUGGCUUGUGAUGCUUAUGUUAUGUUCACAUUCUCUUUCGAGAGUUGCACGGAUGAAUUCAAACUGCAUUUCAUAUUGUAAAAUGCUUUAAAUUGAAAUUACCCAACUCCAUGGUGUAAAAUCCACCUUUGAGAAGCUAAUAAAAUUAUGCUCAGGUAGUAAAACAAUUUCCAACCUUCAUGGCAUCAAAAACUUAA
Long non-coding RNA from Zootermopsis nevadensis, 431 nucleotides. RefSeq lists it as uncharacterized. The record is from RefSeq and is a predicted model, not a curated record. NCBI's taxonomy places the organism in Eukaryota, Metazoa, Arthropoda, Insecta, Blattodea, Termopsidae.